GGGGGAUUAGCUCAAAUGGUAGAGCGCUCGCUUAGCAUGUGAGAGGUAGCAGGAUUGAUGCCCGCAUCCUCCA
Mus musculus (house mouse) is the source of this 73-nucleotide non-coding RNA. The record is from Rfam. NCBI's taxonomy places the organism in Eukaryota, Metazoa, Chordata, Mammalia, Rodentia, Muridae.